Molecule: non-coding RNA, 79 nt
Submitted as: unclassified sequences
Source: Rfam
CCCCUGAUGAGACGUAGGGGGUACUCUCGCCGACCAAGGGCGAGGGCCGGAGAAUGUUAAACUUCAGCAAAACAAACAA